UGACAUCACUUAAAUUGUUGGUGGUCAAAUUUGUUUACCUUCCUGGCAGAUUCAUCGUUCUUAACAAUAAAUAUAAUAUUCCUGAAUAGUAGUAAAGUAUUAAAAACCACUAAACAUGGAAAUUCAAAUGGAAAAACAUAAAAUUGAAAGUGCUGAUUUAAAGAAAUGUGGGGAAAUUACUACUCAUUUGUCAAUUGGUCAAAAAGAAUUUUUCUUAAAUUGUAGCUUUUGCGACUACAUUUUUCUUCAGUUAGGAGAUUUCAUUCAACACAUUUGUGAGGAUCAUCUGUGUCAUUUUAUGAACCCUAAAGUUCAGGAUGAAGAUGAUAAUUCCUUGCAAGAAGAUAUUGAACAAGAUAACAACUUUUCGACGACAGUUUCAAAUGAGGAAGGCAUGGACGAUGGUGUUGCACAAUUCUCGGCGGCAGAUUCGAAUGAGGUGAUGUUCGGAAACUUAAUUAAUCAAAACGACAGCGAUGACAGUAAAACGAAUUUACAAGAUUUUGAAAAAGUUGAAAUACAGUUGGACGAUAACCAGGUGAAAAAAUCUAUGGGUUUUAAAGAUUUGAACGAAAGUGAAACAGAAAAAAAUUAUAUUGAUAAUGAAGAUGAUGUAGAGAACUCUGAAAUUGCGGUUCAUUUAAAGGAAAACUAUACAUGUGAAAAAAAUACUUAUAAAGGAUGUAAUACAGAAAAUUCUGAGAUUGCUUCUUUUAUAGAGGAACUUGGUUUAAAUGGAUCGUUUAAUAAAAAUAAGAUGCUCGCAAUAUUUGAAGGGUAUGAAAAGCGGCCUUUUCUGUGGGAUAACGAUUUGCAAUUACCCAGAGAUAAUAAGAAAAGAGAAAAGGAAAUUAAAAAUAUUGCUGAAGAAGUGGGUAUUCCAAGCGAAUGGGAGUCAAUUCGUAAAAUGAUUGCAAAAUUAAGCAGUAAGCUUCGGACUGAAUUGGUACGAAAAAAAGUUUACCUUUCUAAAGGCAAAAUAUAUACACCUCUUUGGAUUAACGAUUUUGCUAUGUUUUUAAAGCCAAAACGAAAAAAAGCUAAGUUCUAUGAAUGGUAAAGAAAUACAAUUGGAUGUUUCAUUAUGCCAUGCAGUUGAUUAGUUCUUAAUGAAAUGUAAAACCAAAACCGUUACUGAGGAAAUUCACAACUCCAGAAACCAUUUUAAAUGAUGAACAAGCUAUUGUUUUAGCUAAAAUUUAUAACAG
This 1208-nucleotide unclassified non-coding RNA is filed under the name Bactrocera tryoni. Its description in RNAcentral is "zinc finger protein 2-like, transcript variant X1". The record is from RNAcentral. Lineage: Eukaryota; Metazoa; Arthropoda; Insecta; Diptera; Tephritidae.